CUCCAACUAUACCAACCAGUAUCCUUUCCACAGAGCCCUAAGACAUUAUUUUGGCACCUGGGAUAAUUGUUUUUCAGGAAAAUAGCAACAAAGAAAGCCCCACAUUUGAAUGCAGAUGUAAUGGAAGCUAUUGCUUUCUUUGAUUCCAUCAUUGCUGAACUGGAGACAGAGAAACGUCCUCGAGGUCCUGUGGCAGAGCCUGCAAAUGAAGACGUCGACUUUGAUGUGGCAACUAGCUCCCAGGAACACAGCUUGCACUCCAACUGGAUCCUUCGGGCUCCUCGAAGGCACUCAGAAGACAUCACAUCUCAUACCAUUCGAAUAGUGGAAAGUCAUCUUCGGAAAAACAUUGAGAGGAGAACCAUCAGCACUCAGAGGAGGCUGGAGAGGCAUCCCAUUUACUUGCCCAAGGCUGUGGAGGGUGCUUUCAGUACCUUAAAAUUUAAACCCAAAGCCAGUGAAAGAGACCUGGGCACCUCCAAGCAGAUUCUCUUCAGCCUCACUUGUGAAGAACCAGAAUGGGACAUGGAAUUCUCCCUGGAGUCAAUGGGAACACCAAGAGAAGAAAGCUACGUGCCAGAGGUCCCGUCUGGACAGUGGUUCCUUUCAGAAAGACCUUGGCAGCAGACUAUGUACUGAGACAGUUUGUACCCUUAGACCCUUUCCCCUGAGCUGGCCCAGUCCCUCAACUCUGUUUUGGAGAGAAACAAUUUGAUUCUCAACUCAGAGCAGUGUUUGACACAAUUUAAGACUAAAAUAUUUCUGCUUCUUAAAAAAAAAAUACCACCAAAAAACGUCCUGGGAUGGAGUUCCACAGAGCAGCCUGUCCUCUCUUCCCAAGGCUUUGUGCCUUCUUAUUGCCAAAUAGUCCUGCCUCAGUACCCCAAGAGUGGAUUAUAUAAUGAAAUCAAGGCUUUUGAGGAAAAUGACCUCAGGCACCUGGUUCCCUGAGGUCAGGCUGGGAUGCUUCCUAGAUCAGAAACCUCUCUUGUCACAAUCUUCAAGACUCACUGUUCUCAUUUAUUGUUCACUACACUGACCAUGUUUCCCUGUUCUGCCUAAUAACCUAAAGUAUCAGGUGUCCAAGUAGGUAUUAAUGGCAUCGACUGCAACAGAAUGCAGAGAAAGACCCUUGCCUCUGAUCUGGUGAGAAAUAUUUCACUUCUGGUCCUCCAAACAAGUUUGCCAGGGCCUUCCCCUUCCGGUUGCCUCCCUACUCCCUGGCCAUGCACCCUGAGGGGCCUCCUGCUUUCCCAAGGCCUUUCAGCUCAGAGGUGGAAAAAUUGAGGAAAUAGUUAACCCUCAUAUUGUGAUCUCCUGCCAUUAUUUCUUCCUUCAUUCUAGUUCGAGUUCAAGGGAACACAGCCUUCCUGGAUGUUCCAAGGGAAGAAUCUGGGCAAAUUGUCACAAGAUUAGAAUAACUAUGCUUCUAUUUUGUACUGAAAGGUAGUUCUUUCAUUAUUUUCCAACUCCCAUGCACACUCCAACCCUCCCUGACCAGUAACUGGAUACUUGUGGUAGGAGAAAAUGAUGGAGGAGGACCAGUGGGAAGAAAGAUGUAUGUAUGCAGCCCACCUUAAUUAAGACUCCCAUCAGCCACAAAGAAGGGAAGGAAUUCAGCUUCUUAACUGCCUUUACCUCAGACUAGAGAAUAUACUUGGGCCUUUCUCUCCUCUUUCCUUUAUUUCUGCCCUGGGCACUGGGGCUGGGAACAGGGCAGAAGGUCUCUUCCUUAGUCUCCUUGGGGCCAAGUCUCUUUAGGAUGUUCCGACCACAGAAGUAGAUUCCUCAGGACUCUCCCAGGGUUCAAGUAAUACUGUGUUGACAUUAGCAAGGCUUUGUUUUUUAAAGUUUUCAUUUUGUGAAUGUAUGAUCUAAACACACUUCACCUUUUUGGGCACUAGUCUACAUUUCAAUUCUACGGCAGCCUUUGGCUUUUUAUACGCUUUCCAUUUGCAAGGAGAAAAUUCUUGGAAUUGUUUUUAAUCUUAUCUCAAUUUUUUUUUUUUGAGUGCCAAUUUCCAAGAUGAGUUUUUGCUGGGUUUUUUUUUGUGUUUUUUGUUUUUACUCCUUAUGCUAACACAUAGCUGCUUUUAUUAACACAACCCUGAAAAAAACAGACAUUUUGUUUUUCUCUGAUCAAUAAAUAUUCAGGGAACUUCUAGAUAUGAGUCA
Monodelphis domestica (gray short-tailed opossum) is the source of this 2175-nucleotide long non-coding RNA. The record is from Ensembl. Lineage: Eukaryota; Metazoa; Chordata; Mammalia; Didelphimorphia; Didelphidae.